RNAcentral lists this small RNA (673 nucleotides) under Arabidopsis thaliana (thale cress). RNAcentral describes it as "ATSL263840". Lineage: Eukaryota; Viridiplantae; Streptophyta; Magnoliopsida; Brassicales; Brassicaceae. The record is from RNAcentral.
AAACUAUAUGAAAAGGAAACUUAAUAUAUUUUAUUUGUUGCAUGUACGAUUUUCAUUGGAAAAGUAAGAUCACUCCAUUUAUUCAUCGAAAUUAUUCUAAAUAUUGUAGUUAGGUUCUGUUUGUUUCUUUAUCCAGAUGGAUUAUUUGGAUGGAGAUGAAAAAUGAUGUUUGUUUUUGAUAAAUUAACAGAUCAUUUGGAUGAACCAUUUGGAUGGUCCAUCUGAAUGACUUUGUAAAUUUAGGCUAAUUUGUGAAAUUCAUUUGGAUGGACUUGGUAGAAUCAUUUGGAUGGAGAUGAUUUAGUCCAAAAACAAAUGACAAAUAUACCCUCUUUUAAUAAUGUUAAUUUUCGAUAGAUUUCUUAUUUAAUAUAUUUUUUAAAAUUACCUAUUGUACUAAAAAAACUCUAAAAAUUGUGAAAUCACAGACUAUCAUUUUACGUCAAAAUUAUAAUUUGUUUUUCCCGCCAAAAUCGCAAAAUCAUAUUUUCCGCCAAAGCCGCAAAAAUCAUAUUUUCCCGCCAAAACCGCAAAAUCAUAUUUUCCCGCCAAAACCGUAAAAUCAUAUUUUCUCGCCAAAAUCGUAAAAUCGUUAGAUGGUUGUGUUCGAAUGAUUUCAUGUAUUAUGUAACACUUUUGUGAUAUAAUAUAACUGAUUUGUUGUUAAACAAAA